Long non-coding RNA from Nothobranchius furzeri (turquoise killifish), 1828 nucleotides. RefSeq lists it as uncharacterized. NCBI's taxonomy places the organism in Eukaryota, Metazoa, Chordata, Actinopteri, Cyprinodontiformes, Nothobranchiidae. The record is from RefSeq and is a predicted model, not a curated record.
UGAUCUUCUGACCAGAUUUUGGCAUUUUUGUCUUUUGGCCUAUUGCUACUAAAUUGUGAUCACUACAGCCUACCGGUACUGUUAUUGCUUUUGAACACUUCGCUAGUGCGUUUGUAAAAUUUAAAUCAAUACAAGUGGCUGAUACUGAUCCAACGGCCCUGUAACUUUAUCCUAGUUGGGCUCCUGAUCAUCUGCUUCAAAUUAAAUGUUUGUGUACUAGCUAACAAUAUACUUCUGAUGGCACAUGAUGUUUUAUUCCAGUCAAUAUUAAAAUCUCCAAGUAAAUAAAUUUCAUUAUCCACAUCACACACUCUGUCAAUCAUUUCACAUAUUAAAUUAACAUAUUUCACUUCUGCAUUAGGUGGGCGGUAACAGCACCCAACUAACAGCAGCUUUAAAUGAGGUAAAUGCACCUGUAACCAGAUUACUUCUAAUUCCCCAUUUCUUAAAUCCCCUCUAACCUUUACUGGUAUGUGAUCUCAAACAUAAAAUGCCACUCCUCCUCCUUUUGUAUUCCUGUCAGAUCUAUAUAUAUUAUACUCCUCUAUACUAAGCAAAUUAUUACUAAUUGACUCAUCAAAAUGUGUUUCAGUAAUCGCCAUUUUAUGUAAAUCCCAUCUGGAUGUCAAUUUCCCUCUGGGAUUAAUAAAGUAUUUUUGAAUUGAAUUGAAUUUGAUUUCUGCUACACCCUGUAUCUUAUUUCUUAAACUACAUAUGUUCAAAUGAGCCAUCCUCAAUCCUUUUUAGGUAAUUCAAGAACAUUUGUCAUUAUGCAGUUUCAAUACUUUCCAUCUCAAUACACAAACCUUUGCCAUUGUCAUAUAAUAAUAUAUAUUUGUGCAACACAUAACAUUAGACAUUCAACCACAAGAAAACCCCCAUCACAUCACACACAUUUCCCCCUUUAACCAUAUCUAAAUUAGAAGUGUCUCACCACGCCAGCUGUAGUUUAACCUAAAUUAGAUCCUGUGGUCUUAAUAUAACUUUCUCUAGUACUCAAGCUUGGCUCUAUCACUUUUUUCCAGUAAUCUUCAGCUUGGAGGUGAUCUACGAACUAGAGCUGAAACAACUAAUCGAUUUAAUCGAUUAUAAUCGAUUAUUAAAAUAGUUAACAACUUUUUUAGUCAUCGAUUAGUUGUUUAAUAAUCAUAUUUUACCGCAUAAAGUCUAUUUUUACCACAAUCUGACAUCGGUUACAAGCUGUUAAAUUUGCCGCCAGUGUGUGGCAGUAAUGAGCCACUGAUCUACCAGUGGAGCCGUAGAAGAAGAAAUGAGCCAAUGAGUGCCCUCGGUUUUCAUGACGUAUCACUUUACUGACGCUCAUCUUGCUGUGAGAGAUGGCGGAACAAGAGGAAAUACGGAAGAAAAAUAGAAGCGACAAAAUUUUAGAGAAACCCCGGACAAAAACCUCACGAGUAUGGGAGCACUUCACUAGAUGCAUUGAAAAGGCAAAAUAUGCAAAAACCAUCUAGCAUGGCACGGAAGCACGACGUCCCUAAGUGAACAUUUGAGACGAAAACGUGGGGGCUGAGGAAGAGCACCGCGGUCAAGUGAGCCGUCAUUUGGAAGAGCCAGCCCGAAAAAAAACAAGCAACGAUGGACAACUACAUGGGGAAAGAGACACUCACCCCCCAGCAAUUCAUACCACUUACAAACUCUAUUCUAAACAUGCUGGUAAAAGACAUGAGGCCACUAUCCAUGGUGGAAGGAGCAGGCUUCCAGCUAAUGCUAAAAAAUUAUUCUGGACUGAUAUUUUGCACUGUUUAGCUCAUUUUAUACUGCUGACUGUGUUCAUGUGCAAUAAAAUAGAUUGCAGUCAACUGCACAA